Molecule: transfer RNA, 74 nt
Filed under: Kangiella koreensis DSM 16069
Lineage: Bacteria; Pseudomonadati; Pseudomonadota; Gammaproteobacteria; Kangiellales; Kangiellaceae
Rfam family: tRNA
About the family: Transfer RNA (tRNA) molecules are approximately 80 nucleotides in length. Their secondary structure includes four short double-helical elements and three loops (D, anti-codon, and T loops).
Source: Rfam by way of RNAcentral
AGUCGCGUAGCUCAGCUGGUUAGAGCACCACCUUGACAUGGUGGGGGUCGGUGGUUCGAGUCCACUCGCGACUA